Molecule: small nucleolar RNA, 81 nt
Organism: Panthera leo (lion)
Lineage: Eukaryota; Metazoa; Chordata; Mammalia; Carnivora; Felidae
Gene: SNORD115
Rfam family: Small nucleolar RNA SNORD115
About the family: HBII-52 is a member of the C/D class of snoRNAs, which contain the C (UGAUGA) and D (CUGA) box motifs.
Source: Ensembl
GGGUCAAUGAUGAGAACUCAAAUGGCCUCGAAGACAGCGGAUGACCUAAAAAUUAUGUUCAAUAGGAUUAUGCUGAGGACC